Molecule: unclassified non-coding RNA, 239 nt
Filed under: uncultured fungus
Lineage: Eukaryota; Fungi
Description: sequence contains ITS1, 5.8S rRNA gene
Rfam family: 5.8S ribosomal RNA (bases 191-239)
Source: RNAcentral
UUUCCGUUGGUGAACCAGCGGAAGGAUCAUUACAGAGAUCAUGCCCUCACGGGUAGACCUCCCACCCUGUUUAUAUACUAUUGUUGCUUUGGCGGGCCUGCCCUCGCGGCUGCCGGCGUAAGCUGGCUCGCGCCCGCCAGAGACCCCCAAACUCUGAAUAUUGUCGUCUGAGUAAUAUAUAAUAAGUUAAAACUUUCAACAACGGAUCUCUCGGUUCUGGCAUCGAUGAAGAACGCAGC